UGCAGUCGACGAUGAUGCCCAGCUUGCUGGGUUGAUUAGUGGCGAACGGGUGAGUAACACGUGAGUAACCUGCCCCUGACUCUGGGAUAAGCGUUGGAAACGACGUCUAAUACUGGAUAUGAUCGCCGGCCGCAUGGUCUGGUGGUGGAAAGAUUUUUUGGUUGGGGAUGGACUCGCGGCCUAUCAGCUUGUUGGUGAGGUAAUGGCUCACCAAGGCGACGACGGGUAGCCGGCCUGAGAGGGUGACCGGCCACACUGGGACUGAGACACGGCCCAGACUCCUACGGGAGGCAGCAGUGGGGAAUAUUGCACAAUGGGCGAAAGCCUGAUGCAGCAACGCCGCGUGAGGGAUGACGGCCUUCGGGUUGUAAACCUCUUUUAGUAGGGAAGAAGCGAAAGUGACGGUACCUGCAGAAAAAGCACCGGCUAACUACGUGCCAGCAGCCGCGGUAAUACGUAGGGUGCAAGCGUUGUCCGGAAUUAUUGGGCGUAAAGAGCUCGUAGGCGGUUUGUCGCGUCUGCUGUGAAAUCCCGAGGCUCAACCUCGGGCUUGCAGUGGGUACGGGCAGACUAGAGUGCGGUAGGGGAGAUUGGAAUUCCUGGUGUAGCGGUGGAAUGCGCAGAUAUCAGGAGGAACACCGAUGGCGAAGGCAGAUCUCUGGGCCGUAACUGACGCUGAGGAGCGAAAGCAUGGGGAGCGAACAGGAUUAGAUACCCUGGUAGUCCAUGCCGUAAACGUUGGGCGCUAGAUGUAGGGACCUUUCCACGGUUUCUGUGUCGUAGCUAACGCAUUAAGCGCCCCGCCUGGGGAGUACGGGCCGCAAGGCUAAAACUCAAAAGGAAUUGACGGGGGGCCCGCACA
Molecule: ribosomal RNA, 862 nt
Filed under: Curtobacterium sp.
Lineage: Bacteria; Bacillati; Actinomycetota; Actinomycetes; Micrococcales; Microbacteriaceae
Description: bacterial SSU rRNA
Rfam family: Bacterial small subunit ribosomal RNA
Source: RNAcentral